RNAcentral lists this ribosomal RNA (406 nucleotides) under uncultured bacterium. Its description in RNAcentral is "partial 16S ribosomal RNA". It matches the Rfam family "Bacterial small subunit ribosomal RNA", at positions 30 to 526 of the family's 1533-position model. The record is from RNAcentral.
AUUGAACGCUGGCGGCAGGCCUAACACAUGCAAGUCGAGCGAGCGGCGGACGGGUGAGUAAUGUCUGGGAAACUGCCUGAUGGAGGGGGAUAACUACUGGAAACGGUAGCUAAUACCGCAUACCAUCUGAUGUGCCCUGAUGGGCUUAGCUAGGAGUUGGGGUAACGGCUCACCUAGGCGACGAUCUCUAGCUGUUCUGAGAGGAUGACCAGCCACACUGGAACUGAGACACGGUCCAGACUCCUACGGGAGGCAGCAGUGGGGAAUAUUGCACAAUGGGCGCAAGCCUGAUACAGCCAUGCCGCGUGAGUGAAGAAGGCCUUCGGGUUGUAAAGCACUUUCAGCGGGGAGGCGUUACCCGAAGAAGAAGCACCGGCUAACUCCGUGCCAGCAGCCGCGGUAAUUC